GACGAACGCUGGCGGCGUGCUUAACACAUGCAAGUUGGACGGCUGUGGAUGGAAGCUUGCUGAAGUGCACAGCAGUAGCGGACGGGUGAGUAAUGCAUGAGUACCUGCCCUGGGGAGGGGGACAACAGCUGGAAACGGCUGCUAAUACCCCGUAAGCCGGGAGGUGAAAGGGAGCGAUCCCGCCCUGGGAUGGGCUCAUGUCCUAUCAGCUGGUUGGUGAGGUAACGGCUCACCAAGGCGACGACGGGUAGCCGGACUGAGAGGUCGACCGGCCACACUGGAACUGAGAUACGGUCCAGACUCCUACGGGAGGCAGCAGUGGGGAAUAUUGGGCAAUGGGGGCAACCCUGACCCAGCGACGCCGCGUGAGGGAAGAAGGCCUUCGGGUUGUAAACCUCUUUUGUAUGGGAAGAAGGACGUGACGGUACCGUACGGAUAAGUCCCGGCUAACUACGUGCCAGCCGCCGCGGUAA
This 473-nucleotide ribosomal RNA is filed under the name uncultured bacterium. RNAcentral's name for it is "partial 16S ribosomal RNA". It matches the Rfam family "Bacterial small subunit ribosomal RNA", at positions 28 to 523 of the family's 1533-position model. The record is from RNAcentral.